UUUAAAUAAAAUAACACCAUCAAGUUUUGAGAAGGCAAUAGAUAUACCUGGUUAAACAGUGUUAUAAUGUGAGGUAAAUUUCCUUUAUUCUCAAUAAUCCUGGAAGUGGAACUCUACUUUUCCUUGCGCCAUCAAGGUUCUCUGGUAUCAGAGAUCUCUCGUUCAGCGAGAGUUUGUGUGUCUUCCUUUUCUGCUUUCGUUCUUUCGCGAGUUGUGCGUGUUGAUUUUUUGUUUUGCUUGGGUGUUGGUUGGAGUGUUUGGUUGUUUUUGUUUUGGAAUUCCUUUUUUCAGGGUUUUGUGUUAUGCUGUUGCCGAUUGAUUGUUGAGUCGGCUCGUUGUUUUAGGGGCUGGAUUUGCUGAGCCUCUGGGUUUUUCGGCUGUGGGUUUUUCGGCUUCUUUGGUUUUUCCGCUGUGGUGUUGGAUCGGCUGUGGGGUUUUGUCUGUGGGGUUGGUAUUGCGCCGAUCUUAUGCUGUGCCGUGUUUGGAUUCCGGUGUGUUUGGUUUCUUCCGCCUUUUGCGAGUUGGUGUUGGGUUCUUUGGGGGUGCCUGCAGGCAAGGGUCCUGGUGUUUGCUUGACAUUGCAAUUUGGAGGCCAGACGGUCUGUUAUUGCGCCGAUCAUUGUACCGGCUGUCUCUUUCCGGCGGUAGUCUUGUUUCUCUCUCGUGUUAUCCGCUGAUUUUUUGGUGCCCUAAGUUUGUUGGGCUGGGCUGUGUUUCUUUUGGGCCUGGUGGGAGUGUUUUCUGUUUUUUUACCAUACUGGGUUUUUGGGCUGCAAUGUAUUCUGCCUGUUUUUAUGGACAGCAGUUGGGCUCGGGUCAUGGGCAUUGGAGUUUGAUCAUGGAUGUUCGUCCAGUUUGGCACCGGUAUGUUCUCUAUUUGCUCACUCACACUGUCUAAGUCGGCACUUGCCUUAUUCAUCUACUGCUCCGUCUCUUCCCGCCGUGCCAGACUUUUCUAUGGGUUCAGCUAUUAGAAAUCCAUCUAUUUUAAUUUGGAAUUGCCAAGGUUUGGGUUCCCAAGUGACUGUGCAGCAACUUAAAAGCCUUCAGGCUCGACAUUCUCCUGAUAUUAUUGGCCUGUUGGAAACCAAGAAUAGUUCUAGGCGACUUUUUUCUUUACAAAAUUUGUUGGGUUUUUCAAAGGGUUGCUUGGUUGAGCCGUUGGGAUCGGCGGGGGGCCUUGCGCUUUGGUGGUCCGAUAAUGUUCAACUGCAGGUGGUAGAUUAAAAUCGGUUUUCCAUUACGGUUGUCGUUAUUUCACCCGAUUCGGGGUUCUUGUCAGUUUCGAUGGGCUCAAAAAUUACGGCAGUGGGCAAAGCUUAAAGAUUUCAAUUCUAAAGUUCGCAUUCAUCGGGCUACUGAGAAGCUACAGCAGUUAAAAUCUCGGACUUCUGAUUAUUGUCAUGCCGAGGUGGUGCAAGUGGAAAAAUAUUUACAUUCGUGUUGGUUAGAGGAAGAACUAUAUUGGAAGCAGAAAUAUCGGGUUUUGUGGUUGCAAGAGAGGGAUCGUAAUACUAAGUUUUUCCAUCUUACUACAAAACGUCACCGUGCUCGGAACACUAUCUCGGGUGUGUAUGAUGAAUGGAAUCAGUGGGCCAGUGAGGUGCCUGCAAUUCAUUCUGUUUUCUUGCGUUCUUUUCAGAACUUAUUUCAAUCUUCCCGUCCUACGAAUAUUGCCCAGUUUUUGCAGCAUGUUCCUCACCGGAUCACGGAGGAGAUGAAUACCAAUAUUUUGGUGGCCCUGUCAGAGGAGGAAGUGAAACGGGCCGUGUUUUCCAUGGCCUCCAUGAAGGCCACUGGUCCAGAUGGAUGACUCCACUUUUCUAUUAAAAGUACUGGGAGGUAGACAUAUCACGGAUAAUAUUUUGAUUACUCAUGAGCUGUUGCAUUUUUUAAAAAAUAAGCGAAAGGGGCGUAAAUCUUUUAUGGCACUUAAGCUUGAUAUGAGCAAGGCAUAUGAUUGGAUUGAAUGGGGUUUCUUAUUGCACAUGUUGCACCGGCUAGGGUUGAAUGAUCAUUGGGUUAAAAUGAUUUCUGCUUGUAUUCUACUAUGUCUUAUUCUCUUAAAAUUAAUGGGAGUUAUGUUGGCUUAUUUUAUCCUUCGAGGGGUUUGCGCCAAGGUGAUCCUUUAUCCCCAUAUCUUUUUAUUAUUUGUGCUGAAGCUCUUUCUAUUGCCAUUUUGCAUGCGUAGCAAGCCCAGCUAUUAUCAGGCCUUCAAAUUUGUCGGGGCGCUCCUUCUAUUUCUCACUUCUUUUUUGCGGAUGACUCAGUUGUGUUUUGUGCUACGAUGGAACCAGAGGUUCGGGUUUUGAAACGUAUUUUGGCUGAUUAUGAGUCGGAAUCUGGCUAGCAAGUGAAUUUUAGUAAAUCAUCUAUCUUUUUCUCGAAAAAUGCUUCUGGUUCAAUGUGCCGUUUUAUUAGUCACUGUUUGGGUUUGCAGUUGCUUGGCGGGAAUAAUAGGUAUUUGGGUGUGCCGGUUCUAUUGGGACGGUCUAAGUAGGAUGUUUUUUAGUUCCUUCUUUCUAAACUACAGGACCAUUUGUCUUUUUGGAAAUCUAAAUCUUUGUCAGUGGGCGGUAAGGAAGUGCUGGUUACGGCGGUGUUAACUACUUUGCCGACAUAUGUGAUGUCUUCGUUUAAGCUGCCUCGCACAUUGUGCUUGGAUUUGAUGAAGCAUAUUCGUGCAUUUUGGUGGUGCAAUACGGAUAAAAAUCGAGCUAUUCAUUGGGUGCAUUGGGACCUGUUAUGUAGGGGUAAGAGGAGGGGUGGUCUUGGUUUUCGGGACCUAGAGGCAUUUAAUUUGGCGUUUUUAGCGAAACAUGCUUGGCAUUUUCAGGUUCAGCAAAAGGGCCUGCUAUUUCAGUUAUUGAAGGCUAAGUAUUUUCCUUCCUUAUCUUUUUUGGAUACGUAGCUGGGCUAUAAUCCUUCAUGGGGGUAGCGGAGUAUUUGGUCUUCUUAACCUUUAUUGCGUUGUGGAUUGAGAUCUUUGAUUGGGAAUGGUCGUUCUACUUGUAUUUAGAAUGAUCAUUGGGCUCUUGCGCUUUCUCAGAAGAUUCCACCUCUGGCACAUGGUGUUCCAUUUUUCUGGGUAGCUGAUUUAAUUGAUUCUACUACCCGUACUUAGAAGGAGGAUGUCUUUCGUAUUUUGUUUUCUCCUCUUGUGGUUCGCGAAAUUAUGAAAUUGCAUAUUAGUCGUUGGGAUAAACCAGAUGUUCUAAUCUGGGACCUGACAAGUUUGGUUUUUUUUUUUUUUUUUUCAUUCAGCUUAUCAACUUGCUCUAUCGAUGACUAAUUUUUUAGGUAUUCAAGUGUCUGAUGGUUCGUGGAAUUCUAUAUGGCGUUGUCAGACUUUAUCUAAGGUGCAACAUUUCCUUUGGCGAUGUUGUCAUCAAGCGCUGCCCACUGCGGUUUCCUUAAUGGCGAGGGGUUGUGGUGUGUCAUCGUUGUGGUAGUACGGAUGAAACUAUGGUGCACCUGUUAUUCUUGUGCCCUCAUUCUUUACAGGUUUGGAAGCUGUCACCUUUCCUUUUUUAUUUUUCUGAUUCUAAUAUUUCUUCUUUUUGGGAAGGUUGGUCUUUUUUUAUUCAGACAGCUGCAAAUUCAUCUGAUUUUGCGGGGGUUCUUAGUUUGAUUUCUUUCUGUGCUUGGGGUAUUUGGAAGGCGAUGAAUCAUCUAGUGUUUGAGAGGUGCUCUGGCGGCCUGACUUGGUUGUCGAGCGUGCGGUAGCAAGUUUUUGGGAAUUUAAGGAUGCCAGGUCUCAUUGUUUUGCUUUCAUCCGGCUUCAUCCAUUCCGUUGGUGGGUUCUUGGAUUGUGCCUCCGGUUGGACGGGUCAGGUGUAAUUUCGAUGCUUCCUUUUCUAGGAGUAUGUCAUUAGGAGGGGGUGGGGCAGUUUUUCGUGAUUUCCGAGGCAUGGUUCUUCAAGCGGUUGUUUUCCUACAAUUUCCUACCUCUACGGCAUGGAUAUGUGCUUAGGCAAACGAAAGUUGCUUUUAAGCUAUAGUUAAGGAUAUGUUCAAGGUUGGAUGAUUACCAAUGAAACCAUGAAAUGAACUUUUGUAAAAUAAUUUGGUAACUUGAGUUCAAAGGGGGUUUCUUUUCUGGAAUGGAGGAUGUCUUAAGUAGAAAUUAUAUUUUGGUUGUUUUGGUGUA
This is a long non-coding RNA of Cornus florida, 4150 nucleotides long. RefSeq lists it as uncharacterized. The transcript is spliced from 2 exons. Lineage: Eukaryota; Viridiplantae; Streptophyta; Magnoliopsida; Cornales; Cornaceae. The record is from RefSeq and is a predicted model, not a curated record.